GACGAACGCUGGCGGCGUGCUUAACACAUGCAAGUCGAACGGUGAAGGGGUCUGCUUUUGUGGGCCCUGGAUGAGUGGCGAACGGGUGAGUAACACGUGAGUAACCUGCCCCCUUCUUCUGGAUAACCGCAUGAAAGUGUGGCUAAUACGGGAUAUUCUGGGUCUGUCGCAUGAUGGGUCUGGGAAAGAUUGCGCCUUUGGGUGUUUUUGGUGGGGGAUGGGCUCGCGGCCUAUCAGCUUGUUGGUGGGGUGAUGGCCUACCAAGGCGGUGACGGGUAGCCGGCAUGAGAGGGUGGACGGUCACACUGGGACUGAGACACGGCCCAGACGCCUACGGGAGGCAGCAGUGGGGAAUAGUGCACAAUGGGCGCAAGCCUGAUGCAGCGACGCCGCGUGAGGGAUGGAGGCCUUCGGGUUGUAAACCUCUUUCGCCAGUGAAGCAGGCCUGCUCCUUGUGGGUGGGUUGACGGUAGCUGGAUAAGAAGCGCCGGCUAACUACGUG
Molecule: ribosomal RNA, 502 nt
Filed under: uncultured bacterium
Lineage: Bacteria
Description: partial 16S ribosomal RNA
Rfam family: Bacterial small subunit ribosomal RNA
Source: RNAcentral